Molecule: ribosomal RNA, 492 nt
Filed under: uncultured bacterium
Lineage: Bacteria
Description: partial 16S ribosomal RNA
Rfam family: Bacterial small subunit ribosomal RNA
Source: RNAcentral
AGUGAACGCUGGCGGUAGGCCUAACACAUGCAAGUCGAACGGCAGCACAGUAAGAGCUUGCUCUUACGGGUGGCGAGUGGCGGACGGGUGAGGAAUACAUCGGAAUCUACUUUUUCGUGGGGGAUAACGUAGGGAAACUUACGCUAAUACCGCAUACGACCUACGGGUGAAAGCAGGGGAUCUUCGGACCUUGCGCGAUUGAAUGAGCCGAUGCCGGAUUAGCUAGGUGGCGAGGUAAAGGCCCACCAAGGCGACGAUCCGUAGCUGGCCUGAGAGGAUGAUCGGCAACACUGGAACUGAGACACGGUCCAGACUCCUACGGGAGGCAGCAGUAGGGAAUCUUCCGCAAUGGGCGAAAGCCUGACGGAGCAACGCCGCGUGAGUGAUGAAGGUCUUCGGAUCGUAAAACGCUGUUAUUAGGGAAGAACAUAUGUGUAAGUAACUGUGCACAUCUUGACGGUACCUAAUCAGAAAGCCACGGCUAACUACGUG